RNAcentral lists this ribosomal RNA (442 nucleotides) under uncultured bacterium. RNAcentral describes it as "bacterial SSU rRNA". It matches the Rfam family "Bacterial small subunit ribosomal RNA", at positions 335 to 795 of the family's 1533-position model. The record is from RNAcentral.
ACUCCUACGGGAGGCAGCAGUGGGGAAUAUUGCACAAUGGGCGAAAGCCUGAUGCAGCAACGCCGCGUGAGCGAUGAAGGCCUUCGGGUCGUAAAGCUCUGUCCUAUGGGAAGAUAAUGACGGUACCAUAGGAGGAAGCCCCGGCUAACUACGUGCCAGCAGCCGCGGUAAUACGUAGGGGGCAAGCGUUAUCCGGAAUUACUGGGCGUAAAGGGUGCGUAGGCGGUUUAUCAAGUCAGGGGUGAAAGGCUACGGCUCAACCGUAGUGAGCCUCUGAAACUGGUGAACUUGAGUGUAGGAGAGGAAGGUGGAAUUCCCAGUGUAGCGGUGAAAUGCGUAGAUAUUGGGAGGAACACCAGUGGCGAAGGCGACUUUCUGGACUACAACUGACGCUGAGGCACGAAAGCGUGGGGAGCAAACAGGAUUAGAUACCCUGGUAGUC